AACAUGGCCUCCUCCACCUCCGGCACAUGCUCCUCCGACUGAAAGGAAACAAAACAUGAGGCUCAGGUGAACAAAGUGUUUUGCCAGGAUGGAGACUGCAUUUCCCAUGAGCACCCUCAGCCUCUGUGGUGAAGAUGUGUCUAUACAGAUCUUUUUUAUACAACUUUUCUUCAGUAAAGACGACUUUUACGUGAUUCAGAGUGAUGAGUUUUCAGAUGCCUCACUAGAAGUUAAAUGCAGCGCGGAGUGCUGGGCUGUUUGUGUGAUGAAGGAGAUAAAGUCUAAGAGUUCACCUUUGGGUUGAAGUAUUUGUCAAUGAGCUCCUGUCCACACUCCUUUCUCUUCUCGUCUGGAGUCACCUCGUACUCCGCCUGCAGGAAUAAGAUCAUGGAGACAAAAUGACUUAGAGAGGAACACGGAGAGGGCUCUCAGCUGCUGCAAGAGGACGGCCUUUAUCGUCCCUCGAUUACCCAAAACAUCAGAGGAGUCAGAAUCAACCGCUGUGCCCGGGACUUCAUCUUUACAUAUACAUACAUGGUCUGAGAGACAAAAACAUCCAUACGUCAUUCCUCACACAUGAACUGCUAUUUGUUUUGAUAUUACAUUUUUAAAUGAGCACUGUAAACCUGUCUGUUUCUAUUACUUUUUCAGUGUUGAUGACCAACCACAUCUAACACAUACGAUAAAAAGUAACCUGGGGAAUGUUUGCUUUCUGCAUCACAUCAAACUCGAGGCUAAAGCCAUGAUGAAAUAAAAACUUUG
This is a long non-coding RNA of Notolabrus celidotus (New Zealand spotty), 762 nucleotides long. RefSeq lists it as uncharacterized. NCBI's taxonomy places the organism in Eukaryota, Metazoa, Chordata, Actinopteri, Labriformes, Labridae. The transcript has 3 exons. The record is from RefSeq and is a predicted model, not a curated record.